RNAcentral lists this small RNA (948 nucleotides) under Pan troglodytes (chimpanzee). RNAcentral's name for it is "retained intron". Lineage: Eukaryota; Metazoa; Chordata; Mammalia; Primates; Hominidae. The record is from RNAcentral.
CUGGCUGGGGGCUCGCAGGUGAGUUUUGGAGGCAGCUGGUAUCUGCACAGCCACAGGCCCCUCCUGCUGGGGCCCUGGUAGGUAUUUGGAGCCCAGCCAGAGCCACACACAGCUGGAGGCCUUGGAUGCUCCCUCUUGCGUCCUCGUGCCACCAUUGCCCCCAACAGUCCUGGCCUGCUCACCUGGCCCUCGCACCUGUGCUCUGGGCCUGUGUCCUUCAGCCUCUCUGUCCGCUCCUUUGAUGGUGUGUGCCUGUCUCUGGAUGUUGAUGUCAGCUUGUUUGUCUGCUCCCUGCCCUGUGCCUGGGUGUGUUGGAGUGUCUAACCGUGUCUUUCUGCCCGUCUGUCCUGUGCAGCUGGACUCUGUUGAGGAAGGAGCGGUAUGGAUUCUUUGUUUCUUCCGCCCACCUAGGCCCCAUCCCUACCCCCAAGUCAAAAGCAGCCACUCCUGUCCUGAGUUUUCUCUGCAGCUGCUUGGGACAACAGAGGCAGGGCAUGGCGUUUCCCUCUUGCCAUGUUGCCCAUCCCAGCCAGUCCCACCUCGGGUCUGUCAGUACACCAGGGUCUGCCUGGGGACACAGAGCUCUGGGCUGACUCUGGGCUGGCUCUGGUCCAACUACUGAGCCCCGAUCCUUUUUUUGCUGCAGAGGACGAUCUCUUUGGGGGCUGGUGACCGGCAGGUCAUCCAGACUCCACUGGCCGACUCGCUGCCCGUCAGCCGCUGCAGCGUGGCCCUGCUCUUCCGCCAGCUAGGCAUCACCAACGUGCUGUCUUUGUUCUGCGCUGCCCUCACGGAGCACAAGGUUCUCUUCCUGUCCCGGAGCUACCAGCGGCUCGCCGAUGCCUGUAGGGGCCUCCUGGCACUGCUGUUUCCUCUCAGAUACAGCUUCACCUAUGUGCCCAUCCUGCCGGCUCAGCUGCUGGAGGUCCUCAGCACACCCACACCCUU